Molecule: ribosomal RNA, 1002 nt
Filed under: Clostridia bacterium
Lineage: Bacteria; Bacillati; Bacillota; Clostridia
Description: bacterial LSU rRNA
Rfam family: Bacterial large subunit ribosomal RNA
Source: RNAcentral
UAAACGGCGGCCGUAACUAUAACGGUCCUAAGGUAGCGAAAUUCCUUGUCGGGUAAGUUCCGACCCGCACGAAAGGCGCAACGACUUGGGCGCUGUCUCAACGAGGGACCCGGUGAAAUUGCAAUAUCGGUACAGAUGCCGAUUACCCGCGACUGGACGGAAAGACCCCGUGGAGCUUUACUGCAGCUUGGCAUUGGAGUUUGGUAUAUCAUGUAGAGGAUAGGUGGGAGGCUGAGAAGCCGGGACGCCAGUCUCGGUGGAGCCACCGGUGGAAUACCACCCUUGAUAUGCUGGGCUUCUAACCUGCGCCGUGAUCCGGUGUGGGGACAGUGUCUGGUAGGCAGUUUGACUGGGGCGGUCGCCUCCUAAAGAGUAACGGAGGCGCCCAAAGGUUCCCUCAGCACGGUCGGAAAUCGUGCGCAGAGUGUAAAGGCACAAGGGAGCUUGACUGCGAGAGGGACACCUCGAGCAGGUGGGAAACCAGGGCUUAGUGACCCUGCGGCUCUGAGUGGCAGGGCCGUCGAUCAACGGAUAAAAGUUACCCCGGGGAUAACAGGCUUAUCUCCCCCAAGAGUUCACAUCGACGGGGAGGCUUGGCACCUCGAUGUCGGCUCAUCGCAUCCUGGGGCUGGAGCAGGUCCCAAGGGUUCGGCUGUUCGCCGAUUAAAGCGGUACGUGAGCUGGGUUCAGAACGUCGUGAGACAGUUCGGUCCCUAUCCGUCGCGGGCGCAGGAGACUUGAGGGGAGCCAUCCUCAGUACGAGAGGACCGGGAUGGACGGACCGCUGGUGGUCCAGUUGUCCCGCCAGGGGCACAGCUGGGUAGCUACGUCCGGAUGGGAUAAGCGCUGAAAGCAUCUAAGCGCGAAGCCCACCCCGAGAUGAGGUCUCCCAUCCCUGAAAAGGGAGUAAGACCCCUGGAAGAUUACCAGGUAGAUAGGCCGGGAGUGUAAGGGCUGUAAGGCCUUAAGCUGACCGGUACUAAUAGGUCGAGGGCUUGACCC